Molecule: long non-coding RNA, 3980 nt
Organism: Prionailurus viverrinus (fishing cat)
Lineage: Eukaryota; Metazoa; Chordata; Mammalia; Carnivora; Felidae
Exons: 3
Source: RefSeq, a predicted model, not a curated record
UCUGGGCAUCAGUUGAGCAGAUGCCCAGGAUGCCUGGGGGAGACCAGCUUCCCGUACAAAUCAGAGCUCUAAAUUACAAGGUUUUUACCAACGCGAACAGUUGGGGGAAGUCGUCUGCUCUCAUUUGCGUAAUGGUUUCUGUCACUGGUGAUUAGACACAGGAUGAAGGAAAAGAAAUUUGACAAUUAGGAAUGAGCGAUCAUUAAUCUGAAUCUGUUAGGAGACAGAGAGGGGAAGGAUCCUUAUCGGUGGGCCAGCCCAGUGUGGGGAGGCCCUCCCUCUGCCCCCACCAGAGACUCUUGGGCCACGUACCCUUUCCUUGUUUCCACAAGCCGACUGAGCUGAUAUUUCUUGACAGGCUAGGUGGGCCCAGUCCCCAGUCUGAGGUGGAUACAGGAAUGGACACGUAUAGGCACGAGCCAUCAGAGAGAGAGAGAUGGGUGUCAAUUGCAAGUGAUAGGGCAAAGGAUAAUGACAGAAUAUUUGUGACAUGCUUGCUGUUUGUGGAAAAAUUUUUUAAUUCAACACCCCAGAUACCCUUCUUGUGACAAGUAUUUGUUAUAUUCUAACACUACAGGGUGUGGAGAAAACCUAGUUUUUAUCCUGUAGGAGCUUCUACUUAGUUGGAGGGGAAACCACAUGAAACAACUAGCGGUUAUGAAGCCAUGAAUCGUGCGCCCUGUGAGGACAAGAUGAGAGAUUGUUGAGAGAUGAGGAAGAUCAGUAGAGAGCAAACCUCUGGGCUCCCCAAGGAGUAAUGUUGAUUCUUCCCAGUCAGUUCAGCCGUAGUAGUUGCAUGGAGGGCACUGAGGCCCCACCCAGAUACGUGAACAGGUAAUGAGAUCACCUCCAGUGGGCUGAGUUGUAAGGUGUGGAGAUUCCCAACCUGGAUCUUCCCAGGUCUCUGUGGUACCUGUGUUCAUUCUUCCUCUGUCUUCAAACUUCAGGGACUGUAUUAAUUUGCACUAGUUGGUAUUUGUUCCUCAGUUUUGUGACUUGUAUGUGGUGGGUUCCUUAGAUUAGAAGCUCCCUCAUAGAUUGGGGAAAAGGGUGGUUCCUUGUCUCCUGUCAGAAUGUGAACUUCACAGACAGGACUGUUUCUCUUCCUCGAUAAGUUCCCUACCUCUGUAGCUUCUACCCUUCCAGAUCGGAUGCAGAGUUUAGUAGGGCUGCAGGGAAUGGCCCUCAGUGACUAGUUUUACCCAAAUAGGAUGGAUGCCGGGGUGCACUGAGAAGUGGCUCAUGGGGUUCCAGGGGCCCUGGCCUUUCAAGCCAGUUCUUGUCCUUCCCUGGGACCUUCGGUGCUCAUUCUCCAGUCCCUGCUGACUUCUCUGGUGUCCUCUCAAGCUUCCUGCAUUGAAGAGAUGUUCCAGUUUCCCUUUUCAGGGCUCCUCCAGUUUCUCCUACUCAGCCUCCCUCUGUCCAGUCUCCACCAAGAGCCUUUUUCCUGAACGGGCGUUGCCCUCUCUUCAAAAGCCACGUCCAUGGCUGCAAGUGUUGGGAUAGAGUUUCUCUAGGAUCCCUCUCCCUGGGAUCAGCCCUGAGCAUGUUUGAGUCAUCUUCUCUUCUGACCUGCAGUUAGUCUGUUUGUUCUGUGCCUACACUGCCCACGUAGCAUUCCUUUGUUUGUUCUGUAUAGCCUGUUUAGCUUUUCUAACUCUGGUGGCUCUUCUGCUAGUCUUCAGCCGUCUGUUUAAUCCUCACAGGUCUUGGGGUCCUUAGUGGAGACUGAGCACUUUUGGUGCGUUUUUAGGGGACGAGGCCGUAGACACUAGCAACCGUGAGGCCUGAGGAUCUAUGGCCAGUGGUGCCUCCAAAGAUGGGUGAGGGGAGGGUACCCAGAGUCUUGGAUAACGGAGAAUCAUGAGGAGGGAUUGGGUGGGAGAAUCCCCAGGAGUGGGGCCAGGCCUGGCAAUCCAGGGUGGAAGAAGCAGAGUUUUGUGUUUCCAUCUGAAUGCAUCUGUGUGCCUUACGGUCCAGCAAGCAGUUCAGGGAUUGUGGUCAUCUUGUGGAUGUCUCCUGGCCUGUGGUGUCUUUGGCGAUGCUCUGAGUCACCAAGUUUGGCUGAUCUCCGCAUUUCAGCGCUUGCUGGGACGGAAAUAGCAUGUUGAGUAAUUUUGUGUCUGGAGCGAAGGUCUUAGAUGAGACAAGCCACGGAAGCUGGGAUAGCAGGUGAGGGACCAGUGGUCAGCUUACCCAGAUUGUCUUUCCACUCCUCCAAGUGUUUAGGCACAAAAACUGAUUAAAGAAGUGAAAAAAACUAGGCCUUGCCUUCUUUCCCACCCGAAGUCUGGGUUUUAGGUAGUAUUUUGGGAAGGGGCAUGUGUCUUUACCUUCCAAUAGAAGCAACCUAGCAUAGUGUUUUAAAGCAUGGAUUUUGGAGUCAGAUGUGUUUGGUUCUGGUUCAGAUUUCUAGCUUUGCCACUUAUCAGCCAGGUUUGACCUUGUUGAUUGACUUUACCUCUCUGAGCCUCAGUUUCCUCAAUUACAAUAAUAUGUGUGGGGGGCGAGGGGAAGUGUUGAAAAUAUCUACCUCAGGGUUGUUGGAUUAACUGAAACGAUGUUUGUAAAGCUUUAGCACGUACCUGGCAAGCACUUAAUAAAUGGCUGUGGUGGUGGUGGUUACGUUUAUUAUGUGACUUAUUCAGAAACUUUAUUUCAGUGAUUUGUGAGCAGAUUUCCAGUGAUUUUUUUUUUUCCUCUCUCAAGAAAACCAUAGGAAAGAACAAGGAACAUGCCCUGGAGACACCCACAUCGAGUCGCAGGCAGACAGAAGGGCUUUGGUACCCAAACCUGUCCUAGAAGGAGGGAAACAGGGAAAUGCCUGAUGCCUUCUGUCUAGACAGCCAGACUUUACCACUCUCAACACCAGCCCAAGGCCAGGGUGAGAAGUCAUCAGUCCUGCCGCUGGACCACCAAUCCGGCUUGUUCUGCCAUCUGUCGAGUCCCUGGACUGGUUCCACCUCCUCCAGAAAGCCUUCCCUGACUACCUGAACCCACACAGAGCUCGGCUGCAGUGGGGGGAGAUGAAAAGGAGGAGAAACUGUUGGAUAAAAAGAAAUUCAAAAAAAAAAAAGUAAGUGAAAUAUUCAAACUGGAAAGUGAUAUUAUAGAAACUGCAGCCCACGGCUCAGUGCAUUCAAAUUUAUUCAAACUCGGCGCCUGACAGUGAUGGAUGCAGCAGCUUUUCCCACAAUAUGGAGAAGGCGCGGGGGCAUUUAGGACUGCGGGUCCCCUCCGGGAGGGUGGGGGCCCACACCACCUCCCAUGCUUUGCUCCUCCUAAAUGGGAAUGAGGUUCUGGGUCCUGUCCCCUCUACUUCCUAAACCCCACGGUUCCGGGGAUGCUGGGGGACCUGGGCAUCGCUGGCUCAGGUGCUGGGGUAUGGCCCAAGAUAGAGGUAGCCAGCUGUGGAACAGAGUGCGCUCUAGUGCCAAGGAAGAGGGUGGUCAACCCUUUCCAGGGGAUGACCCGACGAGGGUGUUACCUACAUCAAAAAGAAGAGCGUGGCUGUGUGGUUUGUAGCCAAGUAAACAGCAUGAACCUUAGAAACCCCUGAGUAUGCUGAGAUCUAAGGGUCUCAGGAAUCCCAAGUCAGGGGGCAUUCGGUCCCAGUGGCUCCCACUUUCCUGCCCAUUGACUCCCACCUUUGCUCCAUCCAGGAGAGGGACAGGAGGGCCUCUGGUGAAACCUCAAAUCUGGGGGCUUGGUGUGAGCAGUGGGCAGGUGAUAGACUACCCUGCAUGCUGUGCCCCGGAGUAGCCCUUGCUCCCAGGAGCACCCUCCAGCCUCACUUCUCCCCCAACAAGGUUGCUCCCGGCCUCCCGUCCAACCUCUUGACCACCAGGCCCCACUUCUGAUUCUCAGGGCCCAUCCCUGAGUGACUGGAAUACCAGUCACUCGAGGAGAACUACCCAUCUCCUGGCUGCCUUGUCCACUGCACUCUCCCCCUGCGUCUCUAACCCUCCUUCUCUGUCUCU